UACAGAGGGUGCUAGCGUUGUUCGGAAUCAUUGGGCGUAAAGGGCGUGUAGGCGGUUUGUUAAGUCAUGUGUGAAAUCCCUCGGCUCAACCGGGGAACGACGCAUGAAACUGGCAAGCUAGAGUACCAAAGAGGGGGGUGGAAUUCCCGGUGUAGCGGUGAAAUGCGUAGAUAUCAGGAGGAACACCUGUGGCGAAAGCGGCUCACUGGACCAUAACUGACGCUGAUGCACGAAGGCUAGGGGAGCAAACAGG
This 253-nucleotide ribosomal RNA is filed under the name uncultured bacterium. Its description in RNAcentral is "partial 16S ribosomal RNA". It matches the Rfam family "Bacterial small subunit ribosomal RNA", at positions 524 to 776 of the family's 1533-position model. The record is from RNAcentral.